ACGAAAGAAGCCUCUAGAGGAGCAUUCUUGCUCCACCACAGGCUCGGGGGCUACUGUUGGGGGGAAAUAUUAACAACCUCCUAAUGCCGCUUAAAGCAACAGUCACGGAAGCCCAGGUCCAUCUAAGGUAACGAAAUUGCCGUCGGCCCAACAUGGAAGGGAGAGGCCACGUUCCGCCUCGCCCGACCCGGGGUCCCGGGGUCGGACACCCCCGACUCCUUGAAGACUAAACUCCGCCUUGCCCGACCCCAGGGACCGGGGUCGGGAGCGCCCGACCCCCACCACGGAAACUCCGCCUCACCCGACCCUGGGCGCGGGGGUCGGACUCGCUCGGGUCCACAAGACGAAUAUCCGCCUCGGGCGCGGAUUGGAGGAUCAGGAUGACGAUCUCGUUGGUCCCCCUAUCGACCUCGCCAUAAAUGCGUCGCGGCCCUGUUAGGACGAAAGGGAGCGGCUCCCCCAAUGCAACCGGUCCCGAAUACCGGUGCGCGGCCGUGCAGCGCGGGCUGCAGUGGCUGCGGCUCCUUCUGAUUCGCCAUAGGGUACUCAUGAGCUGUGUCGAAUGACACAGGAGAGCGUAUCGCUUGCUCUCGCGCCCCGUGCUCCCAACGGCAGUGUCAGGGACGCGACGUCCGAGUCUUACGGUAAUCGGCAGGGUAGCAGAAUCAGACCUCCUCCCCGGCGGGCACGAAUGCUGAGACUGAGGCUCAUCAUCAUGCUCGACGGCGACGGCGACUAGGGAGAUCAUCGACAAGAUCAAAAAGGAAUCGUUUCCCCUCGCUGGGCGUGCUGACAGGGACCAGAGGCCAGAGCAAGAGCGGCGGCCUUGGGACCCUCCCCGUGUAUUACUUUUCUACUUAGCUUACCCUUCUGCUUCUUCUCCAGAGGUCUGCCCCAACAGUAACCUCGAGCUCCCUCUUGCGCUAUAAAAGGAGGACCGGGGGUCAGGGGACAGGCACUUUUUUUCCUCAAGCCAACAGUACACUCUCGCACUCCCUUAGAGUACAAGCACACUCAAGAGACCUAGGAUCAGUUCCCUCUCUCGCCCAUCUGUAACCCCUACUACAGAACCCCGCGUGGGUAACACGAGCAGCCUCGAUACUGGACGUAGGGUGUUCCCUUGCCCGAACCAGUCUAAACCCCGUGUCUCCCACGCCACCAUCCGAAGCCUUACGCGCAUAAAAGAAAUUUACUAGUCUAAGUCUCGAUCCGCAAAUCUUGACAACGACAGUUGGCGCGCCACGUAGGGGACCUUUGCGCAUACGUCUCCGACUUCAGAUGGCCAACCACGACAUCAGCUUCGCUCCGGGCUCCCUAAUCCGCUUCGGAAGUUUAGACAUCCUCGCCAGCGGGGAGGGGACUGAGCUGAUCCCUCUCCUCAUCUUGCCCGCUCGUCCCGUCAUCCCCGGCCCCGCCGCCUGGACGGCGGCGAGCGGCCAGGCGCGCGCCGGAGGGUCCUUCCCAGGUGGUCGGCUCUUCGGGCUGCGCAAUGCCGCAGUGACUUACGGUCGCCUCCUGACGCGAUCCAUGACCGUGUCGCCCGCGAGCAACGGGCUCGCAGGUGUGGCGAGGAUGUUCUCCGACGCCGGCUCCAGCAACGGGAGCCGCCACCCCUCGCGUGAGUGCUUCAUGGCCGACAUGCACUCCGAGGGGUCCAACGACAAUGGCGUCGAGGGGAGACAGAGGACUCCCCCCCCCCCGUGCGCGCCGCGGCUACGUUCAACGACAAUGGCGCCAAGGGCCUCGGAGCGCUUUCGGCAGCCGGAGGCGUGCGCGGCGUCCCGCCAGGAGGUCGAGCGCCCCCGCCACGAAGGCGGAGCGCAACAGCGGGCGCGCGACGUCCAACAGCGCAUCUGCGUGGACGAAGAGCACCCUCAGCUCUUCGCUCGCGCCAGCCAGAACGUCGCAGCCGCGGCGGCCCUACUCCGGCAACGCCCGAGGAGCGACAGGCGCGCCAAGAGAUGCGCGACUUGCUCGAAUGCGCCGCCGUCCAGCAGGCGGAAAGUUCCGCAUCUCGACGACGCGGACAAAACGCCAGCAGGGCGGCGCCCGACGCGCCCCCGGAGAGACGGGGGGAGUCUGUCCACCAGCCUCCUCCCAGGGCAAACCAGGCCGCGUCCGCCCGGCGGACACCACCACCCGCGGGAGGCGGGGCUCGAUCCGUUCAUCGACGCGUCGGCCCCGUCCGCGACGCCCGCGACACCCUGGACGCGCGGAGGCGCUCCCGCGCAGAUAGGGAGGAUGGGGUAGAUCCUGAACGCGCCUUUUCCACCGCGCUUCAGGCAACCGACGAAUGUUGCCAAAUACUCGGGGGAGAUGAACCCUGGGGUUUGGCUCAGCGACUACCGGCUCGCAUGUCAAGCCGGCGGGGCGGACGAUGAUCUGUUCAUCAUCCGCAACCUACCACUCUUGCUGGCCGACUCGGCACGAGCCUGGAUGGAACAUAUCUCUUCGGGAUGGAUCCGCUGCUGGAACGACCUGAAGGAGGUAUUUAUAGGAAACUUCCAAGGCACGUACACGCGCCCCGGUAACUCCUAGGACCUCCGGAGCUGUCGCCAGGGAUCGGACGAGUCCCUCCGGGACUACAUCCGGCGCUUCUCUAGGAAGCGCACUGAGCUCUCCAACGUCGUGGACGCCGACGUCAUAGGGGCCUUCCUAGCGGGAACCUCCUGCCGGCCCCUCGUCCAUGAGCUAGGGCGCCGAGGCCUGCGAACCACGGAGGAGCUCCUCAACAUUGCCACCAGCUACGCCUCGGGCGAAGAGGCCGUUGGAGCAAUCUUCGACCGCUCCAAAGGCAAGGAGAAGCGGGAGGAGGAUGCUGACGAGGGCACCUCCAACCGCCAGCAGAAGAAGAAGGGCAAGCAGCGGCGCGAGGCCCCCCUCGUAGCUGCUAUCGAGCGCAAGCGAGGACAGCCGCCCCCGGAGGGCACUCCUGGCUUCUUCGACAAGUUGCUCGAGGGACCGUGCCCGAACCACGAGUUUCCCGCAAAGCACGCCUACAAAGACUGCAACCUCAUGAAGAGGUACUUUGUAGGCAACCCAGUAAAGGGCGACCAGAAGCGGAAGCCCGAUGAAGAGAAGAAGGGCGACGAAGAGAAGGAGGACGGCUUCCCCAAGGUGGACGGCUGCUUCAUGAUCUUCGGCGGCCCGGCGGCGUACGACUCCAAGCGUCGUCAGAAGCUGGAGCGCCGAGAGGUUUACGCGGCCGAGCCGGCGACGCCGGCCUUCCUCGACUGGUCGAGAUCAGCCAUCACCUUCGACUGGUCCGACCACUCGGGGUGCGUCCGGCAUCCAGGACGCUACCCCCUCGUCGUCGACCCCAUCGUCGGCACAACGCGCCUCACCAAGGUGCUCAUGGAUGGAGGCAGCGGCCUCAACAUCCUCUACACCGAGACCCUCAACGCUAUGGGGAUUGACUGCUCCCGCCUCCGCCCCAGCAAGGCGCCGUUCACGGCGUCGUGCCAGGAAAACAUGCGAUGCCUCUCGGGCAAAUCAACUUGCCCGUCACUUUUGGGACCCCUUCCAAUUACAGGAAGGAGGUCCUCACCUUCGAAGUGGUAGGGUUCCGCGGAACCUAUCACGCCAUCUUGGGGCGACCAUGCUACGCGAAGUUCAUGGCCAUCCCCAACUACACCUACCUCAAGCUCAAGCUGCCGGGGCCCAACGGGUCAUCAUCGUCGGCACGUCUUUCCAAAAGGCGUAUGAGUGCGACGUGGAAUUCUGCGAGUACGCCGCAGCCAUCACCUUCACGGGUGAUCUGGCGGUCCAGCUCGCGGAGGGCGCCGAGGACCAGCCCGACUCCAAGCAGUCGGCCACCUCCUUCGAGGCCACCGAAGGCGUCAAGGAGGUCCUCCUCGACCCCAGCAGCUCCGACGGGAGGACCGUGCGGAUCGGCGCUACCCUAUCCCCCAAAUAGGAAAGCGCGCUCGUCAACUUCCUCCGCGCGAGGAGCUCCAAAAGCUUUUGACGGCCGGAUUCAUCAAGGAAGUGUACCACCCCGAGUGGCUAGCUAACCCUGUUCUUGUACAAAAAAGAAUGGGAAAUGGAGGAUGUGUGUUGAUUAUACCGGUCUCAACAAAGCGUGCCCAAAGGAUCCGUUUCCUUUGCCACACAUAGAUCAGAUAGUCGACUCGACCGUCGGGUGCAAAAUCCUUAGCUUCCUUGACGCGUAUUCCGGCUACCUUCAGAUCGCGAUGAAAGAAUCCGACCAGCUCGCUACCUCUUUCAUCACCCCCUUCGGCCCCUACUGCUACGUUAAGAUGCCAUUCAGCCUCAAAAAUGCAGGGGCUACAUUCCAGCGAUGCAUGCUGAAGUGCUUCAGGGACCUCAUCAGGCGGACCGUUGAGGCUUACAUUGACGAUAUCGUGGUCAAAUCCAAGAGGUGCAACCAGCUUGUUCCUAACCUCGAACUAGCCUUCGAAAGGCUGAGGGAUAAGCGUAUUAAGCUCAAUCCCGAAAAAUGCAUUUUCGGAGUUCCAAGGGGCAUGCUGCUAGGCUUCAUCGUCUCCGUGCGCGACAUCGAAGCCAAUUCGGAGAAGAUAGCGGCCAUCAGCGACAUGGGGCCAAUCCGAAACAUGAAGGGAGUCUAGCACGUCACGGGAUGCUUAGCGGCCCUGAGCCGCUUCAUCUCGCGCCUUGGCGAAUGGGGGCUUCCUCUCUAUCGACUCCUGAAGAAGACAGACCGCUUCGAAUGGACCGACGAGGCCCAGGGGGCACUUGACCGACUCAAGGACCUCCUAACGAAGGCCCCGAUCCUGGUCCCGCCGACCGACGGUGAGCCCCUCCUGCUCUUCAUCGCGGCGACCACCCAGGUGGUUAGCGCGGCCUUAGUGGUGGAACGGGAAGAGGAGGGACACGCUCUCAAGGUGCAACGCCCGGUGUAUUUCAUCAGCGAAGUCCUGUCUGAGUCCAAGGCGUGCUACCCGCAGAUCCAGAAGCUCAUCUACGCCAUCCUCAUCACGAAGAGGAAGCUGCGCCACUACUUCACCUCCCACCCGGUAACGGUUGUUUCGUCGUUCCUACUAGGCGAAGUAAUCCGGAACCAGGACGCCACGGGACAGAUCGUGAAGUGGGCUCUCGAGCUCAUGGACUAGGGCAUCACCUAUGCCCCCCGCACCACCAUCAAGUUCCAGGUACUCGCCGAUUUCGUAGCAGAGUGGACGGAUAUCCAAACACCAUCAGCGCCGGAGAAGCAGAAGUACUGGACAAUGUACUUCGAUGGAUCAUUGAUGAGGGCCCGUGCCGAAGCAGGCCUCGUCUUCGUCUCUCCUCUAGGCGUGCGCGUCAGGUACAUGAUCCGCCUCCACUUUCCCGCAUCCAACAAUGUCGCCAAGUAUGAGGCCCUCCUCAACGGGCUUCGCAUCGUCGUCGAGCUGAGCAUCCGUCGGCUAGACAUCCGGGGCGACUCCCAGCUAGUCGUCGAACAAGUCAUGAAGGAGUGGAGCUGCCACGACCCCAAGAUGGCAGCCUACUGCAACGAGGUUCGCAAGCUUGAAGACAAGUUCGAUGGGCUGGAGUUCAACCACGUCGCAAGGUGCUUCAACGAAGCCGCCGACGAGCUGGCGAAGGCAGCAUCCGACCGAAUGCCCAUCCCCGACGGCGUCUUCGUCAGCGACCAAUUCAAGCCUUCGAUCCGCUACCCAGAACCGGCAAGGGUCGGCGAAGCGCUACCGGCCCCGGGAUCAGGCCCCGACCUAGGGGAGGUCGGCAGCGCGCCACCCGUCUCAGGCCCUGACGCUAUCCCUGACGGGGUCGGCACCGCUUCGUCUGACUCGGCCCCAGAAGCUAACCCCUCCGGCCCCUUGGUCAUGGUAAUCGCGUCAGACCCCGCAGAGGGGCCCAACCCCCCGGCCGAGUAGAGAGACCCAUACCUCGACUACCUCGUCCGCGACACGCUCCCGGCGAACAAAACGGAUGCCCGUAGGAUUGCGCGUCUCGCCAAAUCCUUCACCAUUAUCGAUCACGAGCUCUACAAGAGAAGCCACACCGGCAUCCUCUAGCGCUGCAUCCCGAUCAAACGGGGAAGGGCACUAAAUCCAGGACAUCCACGCCGGAGCCUGCGGCCACCACGCUGCGCCAAGGACCCUCGUCGGCAACGCCUUCCGGCAAGGCUUCUACUGACCGACGGCGGUCGCCGACGCUACCCAAGUAGUCCGUACCUAUGAGGGGUGCCAGUUCUUCGCGCGCCAAACUCACCUGCCCGCACAGGCGCUCUAGACCAUCCCCAUCAUGUGGCCGUUCGCGGUCUGGGGGCUGGAUCUCGUCGGGCCCUUCAAGAAAGCACCCGGGGGCUUCACCCACCUACUUGUCGCCAUCGACAAGUUCUCUAAGUGGAUUGAAGCAAGACCGGUGGCGCAAAUCAAGUCCGAGCAGGCGGUACAGUUCUUCAUCGACAUCAUCCACCGCUUCUGAAUCCCCAACUCCAUCAUCACCGACAACGGCACGCAGUUCACCGGGAAGAAAUUCCUCCAGUUCUGCGACGACCACCACAUCCGAGUGGACUGGUCGGCCAUGGCACACCCCUGCAUGAACGGGCAGGUUGAGCGAGCCAAUGGCAUGAUACUCCAGGGUCUCAAGCCACGGAUCUUCGACCGCCUGAAAAAGUUUGGUGGACGGUGGGUUGCCGAGCUUCCCGUGGUCCUUUGGAGCCUGAGGAUGACCCCCAGUCGGGCGACCUGGAAUACGGAUCGCCGAGGGUCAAGGCAUACAACGAACAAGGGAACCAGGCAUCGCUCGAAGACGCACAAGAUCAGCUCGACGAGGCACGCGACGUGGCCCUGCUGCACUCGGCUAAGUACCAGCAGGCCCUACGGCGUUACCACAGCCGCAAGGUGCAAUGCCGAGCCUUUAACGUUGGCGACCUGGUGCUCCGCCUUGUCCAGGAUAACAGGGGUCGGUACAAGCUAACUCCCCCGUGGGAAGGUCCUUUCAUCAUCGCGCAACUACUACGGCCAGGCACCUACAAGCUAGCGACCCCCGACGAGCAGAUCUUUGGCAACGCUUGGAACAUAGAACAGCUAAGGCGUUUUUACCCCUAGUUUUCAUUUCCAAGUUCUGUACAUAGACUUGUCUAUAAAUUCAAAGUUUUCUUUUUGCGGAAAAAGAAAUUUCAAGCCGUUUCUGUUCAGGCUUUUCCCGUCGAGCUCAGGGAUAUCCGACCCUAGCUUCGCUCCAGGGUCGCAUAUCCCUCGGGGGCUAUCAGGGGCUCCGGCUCAAGCCACUUGGCACCAUCUAAAAAACAUUUUUCCUUUCAAACCGAGCCCCCCUUUCUGAACUUUUUGGGCAUAAAAAGGAGAAAGUGCACGAACGGUGUUCAGAGAAGAUUGAUCGGACUGCGAAAAAACCUACGCCCCAGCGGCUACGGUACCUUCGCUCAUCAAAGCCUACUAACAUGCCUGACAACGCACUCUAAACUUUCCAUGUCCAAAAAACAGGAAAGGAAAUCGGAAACUUUUUCACGAUAAGUUAGGGAAAAGGCCCCCAUGGCCGUUACAAAACAAGCCUGAAACUAAUGUAUAUACAUCUGCGGCGCCAGCCCGACAUAGUCAGCUCGCCGGGGGAUCUUCGGGAGGGACGGCUUCAUCCUCCAGGAGCUUCGUUAAGGCCUCCGCUGGGGUGAACACCGACGCGUCGAUCUCGUCCAGCUCAGCCUCGGAGUAGCCGGCGGCGUACCCCCCGCUCAUCCCAGCGAAGUUGAUGCCGGAGUAGUGGGAGCCGAAGACCCCGAAGGCUCGCCUCACGCCGGUGUGGAGCGCCUCCAGGGCGAUCUCACGGGCUCGGCGGUAGGUCCCGAGGACACGAGUCGCCAGCAAGCUCGUCCCCUCCUCCUGGACCACGCUGAGGCCGUCACAGACGACGCGGACCGCAUCCCACAGGUUGCCGUGCUCAGCGCGUUCCGUGUCGAGCGCCUCCCUCAGCCGGGUGAGCUUGCUUGCAAGGAUCAGCCAGAAGAACCCGCUAAAUCAAAAAUCACCGCAACAUCACAAAGACAAAGAAAUGAACAGAGUCUUACCCUCGGACUGGGCCUUCAGCUGGCGCUCCCGGUCGAGCCCCUGGGCCACGGAGGCCUGAAGCUCCCGCGCUUGCGCUUGAAGCUGACCGACCUCCGCCCCAAGGUCGGCCACCGCCUUCUUGGCCUCCUCCUUCCGGACCUUCUCGGCAUCCCGGUCCUGCCAAGCCUUUUGCCGCUCGCGCCGGAUGCGCUCGACGGUCUUCUGGAGGGCUUCAUGCCCCCCCUUCAGCCGUGCGAGUUCCUCGGCGUCGUGGCGGGCCUUUUCGGCAGUAGCCUGGAACUCCUUGCGGUCGAGGCGGGCCUUGUCGACGACGGCUUGGAGCUUGGCCUCCUCAUGCGCCGCCUACUCGCGCCUCAGCAGGUCGUUAAUGGCCCCCUGGGCGGCGGCAACCUGCAUGGUUAGGUCCCUGGUUCGCUCCCUCUCCAAGUUGAAGCGCUCCCAGAGCCCCCGCUCCAGCCGGAGGAAAUCAGAUUUCCCCCGACUACACUCUUGGAGAGCCUACAAAGCAAUACACCAUCAGGGGCAAGGCAACGGGAAAGAGACAAUCACCUACAGGAGGGGCGACGUACCUGUCUACCAGGGAGGACGACGUUGUCCAACUCCCCCAACACCAAGGACAGAGCCGCGCGGGUGUUGGCGAGGCUGCCCUGCACCGCCUGCCACUUGCGCCACUCCGCGGCGUCGUCCAGGGUGAAGAGGUGCCUCGGUGGGUCCUCACGAGAUGUCCAACGCAGGACAGACCCCCUCCACACCUUGGGGACGGAGGUGGCCAAAGCCGAAGCGAGAGCCGACCCGGAAGCCGCCGGGUCCGCCGACGGUCCCGGCGCCUGCGCAUCUGUCGCUGUCGGGGCCGCCGCGGACCCGCUCGAUGGCGCCACCGCCUCCGACGCAGGCGGCGGGACAAGUAUCCCCGCGGCCACCUCACUCUCCGCCACAACCGCCGAGGUAGGCUCCUCCGCUCCUGCCGAAGCCCCUCGAGCGGGCACCUCCACCUCCGCCGCCGGCGCCACCUCCGCCGGGACCUCCGGGGCGGAGGUCCCCGCCUCCGCCACCGACGCCUCCUCCGCCGCGGCCGCGGAGGCAGGCACUCCCUUCUCUGUCGCCGCCACCGUUCCUGUCGCGGCUGCAGGGACACCCGUCCCUGCUCCCGUCGCCGCCGUCCCCUCCGCCUCGUCGGCAUCGAGGUCGAUCACCUCCCCGGCCUGAGGGCCCUGGGGAACGAUGCUCUGCACCGAAGGGUCGACCAGGGAAGCGGAAGGCGGAACAGGGUCCACACCCUCUCCCGCACCCGAUGGCGCCACCACUCCGCCGGUCGCCGUCACGGGGGCUGCUUCCGCGGCAGGAUCCGCGACCUCACCAGGGACCCCGCCGCUCGCCGUGGGCGGGACCGCGGUCCGCCCCCCAGAGACGGACGACACCCGCAGCGCCUUCUUGGGCGCCAGCUGCAAGACGAGACCACGGGGGGCGGCGCUGCGAAACAACAAAUAAAUGUUGGCGGAAACGAACGCAAGGUGGGGAAAGGAGCGAGGUUCACGAGGAAAUCCAACUUACGUUCCUCCGGAGCAAGGACGGCGCGCGCGCUUCGCCUCGGAGCCGGACGCCGACCCCGGGGCAUCCGGCAGCGGCCGCUUGUCGCCACUCCGCUGCUCUUGAGUCUCAGGCGCGAUUGUGGGGGCGGGAUCCGUGGACCUCCGAGGAGCGCUCCGUGCUGACUCCUGGGGGGCGCCCCGCGCCGGCUCCUGGGCGAUGGUGGGGGCGGGCUCCGUGGAUCUCCGGGGAGCGCUCCGCGCUGCCUCCUGGGGGGCGCCCCGCGCCGGCUCCUGGGUGACGGCGGGGGUGGGCUUCGAAGACCUCCGGGGAGCGCUCCGCGCCAGCUCCUGGGAGGCACCCCACAUCGACCCUUGGGGCAUGGCCCCGGAGCCUUGCGGAACCGAGCUCCGGGCAGAUGAUCCUUCCGCCUCAUCCCUCACGGCCAUUUGCGAGCGCGCCUCCCGGAUUACGAGCGCACCCGACCGAGGAGAUAAGACCAGCUCUUCCUCCUCAUCUUCCUCCUCCUCCUCAUCAUCAUCGUCGUCAUCAUCGUCCGACACGACCUGCCCUCUCCGCCGCCGUUGGAACUCCUUGGCGGCCUUCUUCCUCUUUUUCGCCGUCUCCUUGUCCUUACGGCGCUUCUGCUCUUCGGCAAGGAGACGGUUUUGCAUCCGCCGAUCGGCGUCCUCCAGCACCGGCAGGUGCGAGUCCACGACCUGGGUCAGUAUGCCCUGCAAACACAAAGUGGCACCGCGUCAGAGCGACAACCAAGAGACACGAAAAAAGAAGGUCGGUGCCCCAAUCCCUUACCAGGUCGACGAAGCCCUCGUCCGGGCGCAUCGGCGGGUGCCCGGGCACCGGGUAAUCGGCGUCCUUGUCCUCCAACACCUCCCGGAUCCGCUGUCAGAUCUCGGAGGCAGCGAACGCGCCCGCCGCCAGGAUGGUGCCCUAGGUCGGCGUGCCCGGAGUCAUGGCGGCGAGCGAACGAACCCGGAGCAUCAUUGGCGCCACCCGCCGGGCAUGGUAUGCCCCAAUGACCCCAGUGCCGGUAAGCCCUCUCCUCUUCAAUUGAUCGAUGGCCUGCAGCAGGUCGAGAAUCCGCUUCUUCUCCUUCUUGACCGGUCCGUACAACCACACCUCCGGCGCCACGUCGAUGGUGCGGCCGGUGAACCCUGGCAGGGGGGAGUUCGAGUAGUUCUUCACAUAGAACCACUAGUUGUGCCACCCCUUGUGGGACGCUGAGGUCUUCAUCACCAUAUACUCCUUGGAGCGAGUAUGGCGGAGGUGGAUCCCGGUGUACCCGAUCGGCACCGGGGGCGACCGCUGCUGGUUCCCCCUCGUCUCCGUCUUCUGGUACAGGCUGACCGCGAGAAGUAUUUCCACAACGAGAAGUUGGGCUCAAUGCCCAGGACCCCCUCACACAACGUGACAAACGCCGCAAUGUGCUGGAUCCCGUUGGGGUUGAGGUGCUGAAGCUCGAGCCCGUAGUAGUGGAGGAGCUUGCGGAAGAAGCGGCUCGGUGGAGUCGCGAACCUCCGCUCGUGGAAGUGAGCGAAGGAGACGACGUAGCCGGCGAGAGGCGUUGGCACCUGCUCCGACCCCGGCAGCUCCCACUCGCCCACCUCUGUCCUAUCGCAGAGGAGGCCUUGCCUCACCAGGCCCUCGGCGCGUGAGGAGUUGAAGUGAGAAAUCGCCCAGGAUCCCAUCGUCGGAGGAGGAAGGAACUUGACGGGGAUGGGAAGAAAGGGCGUAGCGCUGAAGUGGAAGAAGGCGAAGCGGGCGCGGAUGAGCUGAGGGCGAGUUCAGAGGGCGAAAAGACUUGAAAGCAGAAGGCGGGCGGAACCAGUGAGGCGGAGUUUUCGUUUUAUAGGGAAGGCCCGAAGGGAGCGGAACCGACGCCCUUGUCGCCAUAAAUGCGGCGCCAGGUAUGCCCCCGUCUCUCCUACAUUCUUUUCGGAAACCACGCGCACGAUCGGCCACAAAAACAUCCUCUCCUCCUCGAUUCGUGGGUCGGCGCCCUCCAUAACUCCGUCUCCCGGAAGACACGCCCACGACGUCCCCCACGUUCGGCCCAACACACAAUAUCCGUCCUAAUUCAGCCCAAGGCCCACCAAAAGGUAAUAAGGGAUACGGGGAUGGAAACGCCCCUACGACCCAUUACAACACAAUAUCCGUCCCUCACAUUUGAAGGCUGGCCCGCUACAGGUUCGACAACGCCUCAGGACAUCCCCCGAACGAGGGGUGAGAAGGGACGGGUCCGCUAGCGGCCAACACCCAGGCGAGCGAAAGCCAAGGGCAUCCCGACCUCACGUUCGAGUCCAGACCGGCAUCAAAGUUCAUGGUUUUUCCAUGAGAAAAGGCAACGAGCCCUCGGAUCCGACCGAACGGACUCGGGAACUAUAUGAACUGGCCGGCUGGAGCCUGGAGUACGCCACCAGCUUGGCCCGAGCCGGACCCCUCCGAACGGGGACCGGGACUCCACUCGAACCGACCCGUUCGCAGCUCAACGAGAACCACGGUUCGUCCAACAAGGAUAGCAUGGCAUGGCUCAACCCCUCCGUCCCAGCGAACGGAUGCUUGAGGGGUAACGAUCAAAAGCCGAUCUAGCCUCCCGAUCGGCCUCCUGCAACGCGUGGGGGCUCGGGGGCUAGCGUUGCAACCAACGACCACGCGUGUGGUCGCGAUUUGAGGACUCCCUGGCCAAGCCAGACCAACAACGCUCCCUACCCCUGAUCAACCGCGGCUUGCAGGACGAGCAGAAGAUCUCCGGUGAAACGACGAAAGAAGCCUCUGGAGGAGCAUUCUUGCUCCACCACAGGCUCGGGGGCUACUGUUGGGGGGAAAUAUUAACAACCUCCUAAUGCCGCUUAAAGCAGCAGUCACGGAAGCCCAGGUCCAUCUAAGGUAACGAAAUUGUCGUCGGCCCAAAAUGGAAGGGAGAGGCCACGUUCCGCCUCGCCCGACCCGGGGUCCUGGGGUCGGACACCCCCGACUCCUUGAAGACUAAACUCCGCCUCGCCCGACCCCGAGGACCGCGGUUGGGAGCGCCCGACCCCCACCACGGAAACUCCGCCUCGCCCGACCCUGGGUGCGGGGGUCAGACUCGCUCGGGUCCACAAGAUGAAUAUCCGCCUCGGGCG
Molecule: long non-coding RNA, 12682 nt
Filed under: Setaria viridis
Lineage: Eukaryota; Viridiplantae; Streptophyta; Magnoliopsida; Poales; Poaceae
Description: long non-coding RNA (SVIR_LNC011134)
Source: RNAcentral